RNAcentral lists this ribosomal RNA (1367 nucleotides) under uncultured bacterium. RNAcentral's name for it is "16S ribosomal RNA". It matches the Rfam family "Bacterial small subunit ribosomal RNA", at positions 33 to 1381 of the family's 1533-position model. The record is from RNAcentral.
ACGCUGGCGGCGUGCCUAAUACAUGCAAGUCGAGCGAACGGACGAGAAGCUUGCUUCUCUGAUGUUAGCGGCGGACGGGUGAGUAACACGUGGAUAACCUACCUAUAAGGCUGGGAUAACUUCGGGAAACCGGAGCUAAUACCGGAUAAUAUUUUGAACCGCAUGGUUCAAAAGUGAAAGACGGUCUUGCUGUCACUUAUAGAUGGAUCCGCGCUGCAUUAGCUAGUUGGUAAGGUAACGGCUUACCAAGGCAACGAUGCAUAGCCGACCUGAGAGGGUGAUCGGCCACACUGGAACUGAGACACGGUCCAGACUCCUACGGGAGGCAGCAGUAGGGAAUCUUCCGCAAUGGGCGAAAGCCUGACGGAGCAACGCCGCGUGAGUGAUGAAGGUCUUCGGAUCGUAAAACUCUGUUAUUAGGGAAGAACAUAUGUGUAAGUAACUGUGCACAUCUUGACGGUACCUAAUCAGAAAGCCACGGCUAACUACGUGCCAGCAGCCGCGGUAAUACGUAGGUGGCAAGCGUUAUCCGGAAUUAUUGGGCGUAAAGCGCGCGUAGGCGGUUUUUUAAGUCUGAUGUGAAAGCCCACGGCUCAACCGUGGAGGGUCAUUGGAAACUGGAAAACUUGAGUGCAGAAGAGGAAAGUGGAAUUCCAUGUGUAGCGGUGAAAUGCGCAGAGAUAUGGAGGAACACCAGUGGCGAAGGCGACUUUCUGGUCUGUAACUGACGCUGAUGUGCGAAAGCGUGGGGAUCAAACAGGAUUAGAUACCCUGGUAGUCCACGCCGUAAACGAUGAGUGCUAAGUGUUAGGGGGUUUCCGCCCCUUAGUGCUGCAGCUAACGCAUUAAGCACUCCGCCUGGGGAGUACGACCGCAAGGUUGAAACUCAAAGGAAUUGACGGGGACCCGCACAAGCGGUGGAGCAUGUGGUUUAAUUCGAAGCAACGCGAAGAACCUUACCAAAUCUUGACAUCCUUUGACAACUCUAGAGAUAGAGCCUUCCCCUUCGGGGGACAAAGUGACAGGUGGUGCAUGGUUGUCGUCAGCUCGUGUCGUGAGAUGUUGGGUUAAGUCCCGCAACGAGCGCAACCCUUAAGCUUAGUUGCCAUCAUUAAGUUGGGCACUCUAAGUUGACUGCCGGUGACAAACCGGAGGAAGGUGGGGAUGACGUCAAAUCAUCAUGCCCCUUAUGAUUUGGGCUACACACGUGCUACAAUGGGCAAUACAAAGGGCAGCGAAACCGCGAGGUCAAGCAAAUCCCAUAAAGUUGUUCUCAGUUCGGAUUGUAGUCUGCAACUCGACUACAUGAAGCUGGAAUCGCUAGUAAUCGUAGAUCAGCAUGCUACGGUGAAUACGUUCCCGGGUCU